RNAcentral lists this microRNA precursor (65 nucleotides) under Stegodyphus mimosarum. RNAcentral's name for it is "mir-10 microRNA precursor family". Lineage: Eukaryota; Metazoa; Arthropoda; Arachnida; Araneae; Eresidae. The record is from RNAcentral.
CCGUAAAAACCCAUAGAAAGAAACCCGUACAGCUGUACGGGUUUCUUUCUAUGGGUUUUUACGGG